This is a long non-coding RNA of Rosa rugosa (rugosa rose), 453 nucleotides long. RefSeq lists it as uncharacterized. The transcript is spliced from 5 exons. The record is from RefSeq and is a predicted model, not a curated record. NCBI's taxonomy places the organism in Eukaryota, Viridiplantae, Streptophyta, Magnoliopsida, Rosales, Rosaceae.
UCAAUCUCUCAAACUUGAGAAUACUUACCCAAACCUAGUCUCUCCUUCAACCCAGGAAUCAUUUGCAUUCGCGUCCGGCUCUAUGGAGCUGUCCAACAACCACUCAAAAGAUUAGAGGAAGCUUGACUAUUUUCGAUUGGGUUAUUGGCCGGGAUUCAGACUUGUACUGUUGCUUGUUAUAGCAUUGCUGUUGGAGGAGGGUUUGGGUCUUACUAGUUGGGUUUGAACAGGAAGACUUAUGAAAUUCUUCACAGUUUGAGCCUCAUCUCUGGUACUUCAUUAUUGGUCUCAUUUAUUCCGCCCUCUCUUUGUUUGGUGGGUUCCAAAGCUUAGACAUUAUGCCUCAUCAGUGCCCAUUAUUCUCAUGGGAACUAAACUAGAUAAGUGAUACAAAAAGAAUACGUUUGUAUGAGCAAUUAGGAGUGGCUAAGUGACAGAUUUUGUUUAAGCAAG